RNAcentral lists this transfer RNA (72 nucleotides) under bacterium. RNAcentral's name for it is "tRNA-Gly". It matches the Rfam family "tRNA". From Rfam's summary of the family: Transfer RNA (tRNA) molecules are approximately 80 nucleotides in length. Their secondary structure includes four short double-helical elements and three loops (D, anti-codon, and T loops). The record is from RNAcentral.
GCGGGUAUCGUAUAAUGGUUAUUACAUGAGUUUUCCAAACUCAUGAUAGGGGUUCGAUUCCCCUUACCCGCU